GUCGAACGGCAGCACGGGGGGGUAACCCUCUGGUGGCGAGUGGCGAACGGGUGAGUAAUGCAUCGGAACGCGUCCUGUAAUGGGGGAUAACCUAUCGAAAGGUAGGCUAAUACCGCAUACGCCCUGAGGGGGAAAGCGGGGGAUCGAAAGACCUCGUGUUAUAGGAGUGGCCGAUGUCGGAUUAGCUAGUUGGUGGGGUAAAGGCCUACCAAGGCGACGAUCCGUAGCGGGUCUGAGAGGACGGCCCGCCACACUGGGACUGAGACACGGCCCAGACUCCUACGGGAGGCAGCAGUGGGGAAUUUUGGACAAUGGGGGCAACCCUGAUCCAGCCAUGCCGCGUGAGUGAAGAAGGCCUUCGGGUUGUAAAGCUCUUUCGGCCGGGAAGAAAUCGCAUUCUCUAAUACGGGGUGUGGAUGACGGUACCGGAAGAAGAAGCACCGGCUAACUACGUGCCAGCAGCCGCGGUAAUACGUAGGGUGCGAGCGUUAAUCGGAAUUACUGGGCGUAAAGCGUGCGCAGGCGGCGCCAUAAGACAGCUGUGAAAUCCCCGGGCUUAACCUGGGAACUGCGGUUGUGACUGUGGUGCUUGAGUGCGGCAGAGGGGGGUGGAAUUCCACGUGUAGCAGUGAAAUGCGUAGAGAUGUGGAGGAACACCGAUGGCGAAGGCAGCCCCCUGGGUUGACACUGACGCUCAUGCACGAAAGCGUGGGGAGCAAACAGGAUUAGAUACCCUG
Molecule: ribosomal RNA, 737 nt
Filed under: uncultured bacterium
Lineage: Bacteria
Description: bacterial SSU rRNA
Rfam family: Bacterial small subunit ribosomal RNA
Source: RNAcentral